GCUGUCAUGCAGGUUAUCCCGACCACUUUUAGACUGGCGAAGGACAUUGAUGAAUCAAGUUGAGUGGGACCACUGAAAAGUGGCUUCGGAAAUUUUAUAGUUUAAAGGACACAAUAAAGAUGCAGAUUGGUGGAGUGUUGGAAUGCUUUUGUCUGAAAUGCUAACUGAGCAGGUAAUAUGUCGGAUUAAUAAGGACUAUGGCUAAAAAAACAGAAGCUAAAAGUUACUUUGGGAGUCUAGUUAAAAAGGGUUUGUGUUUCGCAUAGUCCUCAACCCACCCUGCCCUCCCCACAGAGAGUCAUCAAGAGAAAUUUCACCGGAGGCACUGUGUUUUUUUUUUUUUCUGGAAAUGAUCUCCAAAUUUCUUGUCUCAGCCCCCAUUUACACACUCGAAUAGAAAGAAGCUUCAGGAGAGAAUUAUCAAAGAGAAUCAAACUUCCACCGUAUCUUAGCAGUGAAGCUCCCUCUUUUCUGAAAGGAGUAAGUAUACACUUUUGUGAUUUUGUCCCCUCUUCUACGGUUUAUUUGAAUCCUUUUUCCAAAAUAAGAUCUCAAAAAACAACAGAGUUUUCGUCUUUUUGUGGUUGCUGCAGAAAGAACCAUCAGGAGGUCAGGCAGUGGUCUUGGUGAAGGGGAUGAGGUCAAAGGCCUUAAAUGGUUUCAGUCAGUCAACUGGAAAAAAAAUAGAGGCGAAAAACUGUAGCCAAAGUAUAAACCAGAUUUGGGUGGCAGACUGUCCGGCGAACAAUGCCUUUGAUGGCUCACCAGCUCCCACACCAACAGCCGGUGAACAUUUUCAAGGGUAUACUUGUGUUUCUCUUAAACCUUGGCUUUCCAUCCGGAAGAAUUAAAUGAUUUUGAAACAAGCAAGCCAGCCAGCCCAAUUGGAUCUUUGUUCUUAUGCUCGUUGCAAGCUGAUGAGAUUGCAAGAAUGUGAGAUUAAUUAAGUUUUUAAUCCAAACUCAAAAUCAUGCUAGAAUAUCCAAUCCAAAGCACUGUGGUAGUAUUUGGAUUGCUUGGAAAGAGAGAAGAUUCUGUUUACAACUUCCUCGUGGAGGUGAUGUAAAGCACUGGUGUAUAGAAGAGAGAAUCUUUUUUUUUUUGGGUAAGUAAGAAGAGAGAAUCUUUCUUAAAGCACAAAGAGUAAAGUAGCAUAGAAGAAUCUUGUUUUUCACUGGAAGACAAGCAACAUACCGAGUGCUACUUAGAAACUUCAUGAGACACUCUCUCCCAUAUUUAACAGUUUUAUUGAUAUAAAUUUUUAUCAGUAUUUAUACUCA
Long non-coding RNA from Populus nigra (black poplar), 1280 nucleotides. RefSeq lists it as uncharacterized. The transcript has 2 exons. Lineage: Eukaryota; Viridiplantae; Streptophyta; Magnoliopsida; Malpighiales; Salicaceae. The record is from RefSeq and is a predicted model, not a curated record.